UACGUAGGGUGCGAGCGUUGUCCGAAAUUAUUGGGCGUAAAGAGCUCGUAGGCGGUUUGUCGCGUCUGCUGUGAAAUCCCGAGGCUCAACCUCGGGCCUGCAGUGGGUACGGGCAGACUUGAGUGCGGUAGGGGAGAAUGGAAUUCCUGGUGUAGCGGUGGAAUGCGCAGAUAUCAGGAGGAACACCGAUGGCGAAGGCAGUUCUCUGGGCCGAAACUGACGCUGAGGAGCGAAAGCGUGGGGAGCGAACAGG
Molecule: ribosomal RNA, 253 nt
Filed under: uncultured bacterium
Lineage: Bacteria
Description: partial 16S ribosomal RNA
Rfam family: Bacterial small subunit ribosomal RNA
Source: RNAcentral